GCUGUACCAGAGGUUCUGCAAAGUUUGCUUUCUGGAAUGGAUCAAAGUAACCACCCGGAUUGCCAGACAUCCAGCUAAAUGUUCUGGUAGAGCUUGCCCAUUGCAUGAACAGGUAAGCAGCUUCCGCAUGUUCACUCUGGGCUGAGAUCUCCGCGUUGAUGUUAUAGUACAGACAACUGCGGCGAAUCAGGUCGUCGCCAAAGGUAUUGCCGGGUGGCA
This 219-nucleotide non-coding RNA is filed under the name marine eukaryotic metagenome. The record is from RNAcentral.